UUAACGAGGCAGCUGUGGUGGCUAGGCCUGAUGAGUUUUGGGGCGAGACACCGUGCGCGUUUGUGAGUUUGAAAAAUGGUUUGCCUCACAAACCUGGUGAGAAAGAUAUAAUUGAUUAUUGCAGGGAAAAGAUGGCGCAUUAUAUGGUACCAAAAAUCGUGGUGUUCAAAGAUGAGCUUCCAAAGACAUCAACUGGGAAGAUUCAGAAGUAUUUGCUCAGAGAAUAUGCCAAGGUCGUGGAUUCUUCGAAGGUAAAAAUGGCAACCGGACAGGUCGGGAGUGGUUUUUAUCUGCCUCUACGUUCUCCUCGAUGGCUUCAAACACCCUUUAUUCCCACUCCCAUCUCCACCUCCAUUUGCGUUCCCAUUCCCCGUUGUCGUCCCGUCUCUCUGUACAACUUCAGUCAAAGCAUAUUUUUUGCCAAAAAAAGAGGUUCUGAAAUAUUCAGUAUCUUUCAAAAGAACCAAGGAACAGUGCUCCAUCAGCCACAUCGUUUGGGCAACACUCAUGCUCGAUUCCUCUGAGCUUCAAGAAUAAUUCUUGAAACCUAAGAGGAAGUUGGCGCAACUGCCUUCCCAUCUGCUCCAAAUUGGUACUGUCCUAUAAAUUGCGAUAUGUCUUUUGUGUGAAAUCCUACAUUUUCCUCCGAUGGACUUGUCAGUUAUUCCAUACCGAAACAGCUAUCAUGUCUCUUUCAAUCACCACGUACGACACGAUCAAGAUAUGGUAACGCGCGCAGUAUGUAAUAGCCUUUGUCCAAAUAGCGAGGAAAAGUACAGUUUCUUAAUUGGUACAAGUUAAUCCUGUUCAUCUUCACCAUUCUCUUGAACAUAAAUUGUCAUUUUCAAAUUAAUAAAUUUGGUCAAGUAUUUAUUGUCUACGUUAACUAAAGCAGAAGGCAUGCAUGACUUUGCAUUAAACCAAAAUAUUCAAAUGAUUGUAGCUAGCAUCUGGUCCAAAAUAUACAAAGUUAGCUAGUGGUCUGAAGAUCAAGCACCCUAUAAAUUUAAGUGAGGGAACAAAAAACACUCUUUUGAUCUCUAAAUUGAUCUCUAUCUUCUUGAAGAAUAUUAAGUUAUCGAUCUCUAUCGCUAAAUUCAAUAUUAAAGAAUAUUUUCAAUUUAGAAGGUUAAAAGUAUACUAAUGUGGCCAUCAAACCAAAAAAAUCAAUUUUUCAAAGUUUGAACUCGGAUUGAGUAGAUUAUGUUGCUACUCACACUUCACACUUUAGUAGGUCCAAUAACACAGUUAUAUAUAUAUAUAUAUAUCAUUUUCUAGCUUUCUUCCAACUUGUCCCAAGUUCUUAAUAUUUAUCAAAGGUUUGAUAACUACUUAAGCGAAAGAUAAUUGUGUAUUGUUGGUUUCAGUAACCGUAAAAUUUAAUAUAUAUAUAUAUAUAUACAUUAAAAUAUAUAACAUUAAAAUAUGUUAUAUAUUUUAAUGUGUGUGUGUAUAUAUAUAUAUAUACACAAUUAUAUAUAUAUAUAUAUAUAUAUAUAUAUAUAUAUAUAUAUAUAUAUUAAAUUUUGCGGUUACUGAAAGCAUAUAUAUAUCUAUAUUAAAUUUUGCGGUUACUGAAAGCAACAAUGCACAAUUAUCUUUGGCUUUUAUAUAUAUAUAUAUUAAAUUUUACGGUUACUGAAAGCAAUAAUGCACAAUUAUCUUUGGCUUAAGUAGUUAUCAAACCUUUGAUAAAUGUUAAGAACUUGGGACAAGUUGGAAGAAAGCCAGAAAAUGAUACUUUUAUUUUCCCACCUAAAAAACUUAAUAUGGAUAUCAAAGGUAUUAAUAUCUUUUUACAUGCUCUAUUUGUCAUAAUAAAUUGCCCAGAACAAAUAAAUUUUUCUUUAUCUUAAUUGCACUGUAAAACAACCAAAAUAUCAUUGAAAACAAAAAAUUUAAAACUUGCAUCAAUGAACAAUUUUAUGUUUCCACAAUGGUUUUUUCGUUAUUGCAGUGUUAAGUGGGGAGCAAUUUAGCAUUUGAUCAAAAAUAAAAAAUAAUUAAAAAUUAAAAAGCAUAAUGAAAUGAGGAAAUUUCUCUUAAAAUAAAAAAAUUUAAAAUUGGAGUGCAAUGGCUUUUUGUUCAAUUUACAAUGAUUUUAAAAUAAAUAAUUAAAAAUAUGUUAUUAUAAGCAUCACCACGUUCUUUUCCUGGUAGAAUGGCACGUGUCGAUAGUGGUGGUUCAAUUUGUCGCUAGUGGAUCUUUUUCUUUUUUUUAUUUUAUUUUAUCUCUCUUCUCUAAAAAAUUAUAAUUUGGUCUACUUUGUUAUAGGUUUUUCAACUUUAGUCCUUAUUGUUUUUUAUUCUAAUUUUUAUUCUUGGCUCUUUUAUAGAAGUUUUGUUUAUAUUCAAUUUCAUCCUUCCAUCCCAAUUUGCUAUAUAUUAUUUUUUUUUAAUUUGGUCCUCAUUUUUUAUUAUACUUUUUAGGCCUUUUAUUGAAUUAAUUUUUAUAUGUAAUUUCACCCUUCAAUCUAUAAUUUUUUAUUUCAAUUUUGAUCCUCAUUCUUUUGAUUUUUUUAGUCCUUUUAUCCAAUUAAUUUUUUUUUUCAAUUUCACCCUUCAAUCAAAAAUAAAAUUUAUUUUCUAUGUCAAUUUUGAUUCUUAUUCUUUUAACUAUCAUUUUUUUAAUCAUUUUGUGUAAUUGAUAUUCUUUUUUCAAAUUAAUCUGUCAACAUUUAAUACAUUUAAUUGGUUGAAAAUUGAGUUUCAUGUCUUUUUCCUAGAUAGGGUAUUUUCAAUCUAAUGCCAGGGUCAAGGGUUUAGGGUUUGAAAAGUUAUAAUUCUUUUUAUUUUUUAUCAAGUUAUUCCAAUCUCAUGAUUUGAAUUGCAGGUUUAACAGAAUAUCUCGUGUUGACCCAACCCUAAUUACUGAGGUUACAUGUUUGUCAUGCUAACUCUGGUUAAUAAGAACCAAUUUUUUUAUGUCCUUUAUCUACCCCAUUUUGUUCUUCUAUAUUUAAUAAGUUGUAAAUUGAGAUACAUCAUUUAUUUCUUUUUCUAAAAAUAUAUUUCUCUCAUGGUAUUCUAAUCACUUUUCUUUUUGAAUUUGAUCCAUAUACUGUUGUUUCCUAUUUUGUUUUAUAUCUAAUUGAAAUAAAAUCAACUUAUUUGAUUCUAAUUAAUUAGAGCUAUGACCGAAGUCGUAUAUUUUUUUUUGGUUUUAAAACAUGAUUGUGGCUUCUAAACACCAAUUUUUGUACAAAAAAUAAUAAUUUGGCCCUAUGGUAGUGCGGGCACAAGGGCUAAUAAUAAUCUAAAUUGCUUCUUGCUAUCUUACUAAAUAUAAGCCGACUUUGACACAAAAUUAAAGUAAACUUAAACAAGAAAAAUCCCUUAGUACCAAUAAUUGUCUCAAAUAACUGCUGAAAUAAAGAACAUAAGAAAGAUAAAUGGUAGUUAUUUAUAACAAGUGGUAAAAAAUAUUAAAAAGUAUUUAAGAUAUAUAUUAAUAAAAAUUAUUAUUAUUAUUGUUAUUUGCAAUAUAUUCAAUGUAAAAAAUUAUUAGAAAACACCGUUGACAUAUCAUGGUUGGCAAUGAAUGGUUUAAUCUGCACUACUUCAGAUUUUCUAGCCAGAAAAAAUAUUAUAAACCUAGACCAGGUUUCAUAUCCCUAGUGUAAUAAAUAGCCAGAAUUCAUGGAUCAUAUUCUUGUACACUGCUAUGAAUCUUGGAAAUUAUGGAACCGAUUCAUUAAUUGGCUAGGACUAAUUACAUGGUGCAUGCCGAGGACUGUAGAACAAACCUUAUAAUUGUGGCAUUUUCUGGGUAAAGGAAAAUUUCAGAGGAAGGCUAUCUAUAUGUUAUCUACCGGCAUCUUGUGGGGUAUUUGGCUAACUCGUAGCAAAUUGAUUGGACUACAAUCUUGAUUACUACAAAGUGUUCUUAAGAAUAUAGAAAGUAGAAAUAAAAAUAAUAAACAAAUUAUUUGCCUUUUUAAGUGGCCUGUCUUCUUCAAGUACUCAAUUCGAUUUCAAAGCACAAGAAGCCCUUGAAACCAAACCUUCAUAUUUGUGUGUCUCUCUAAGUAACUCUGCUGCUGUAAAUAUAUUUUUUACAAACCAUUCUAGUAGUAGAAUUUGAACAACUUUAAACCUGUCUCUUAAGAAAGUUUUUGUAUCAAAUAAAAUAUUUUACAGAAAAAUAUUAUUAGUAUAGGGAUUGGAGUUGACUAGUUGCUUUGUGAACCCCCGGCUAGCAUAUUUUUGGGUUAGUAAUAUAUGAAAAAUUUAACCAGAUAAUAAAAUGGGUUGAAUAAAAAAAACACUUAAUUAAGAUAAAAAGAGUGAAAUUAAUGAAAUGAAGAGUGAACAUAGUACUAAAUUGUGAGGAAAAACAAAUUUGUGGGGACAAAAUAUAAUAAGUAAGGCUAAUAGGGGCCAAUGUAUAAAUACAAAAAGGAGAGGGUCAAGGUGCAAUUAACAAGAGGAUGACACUAUAAAUAAACUUCAAUUCUCUUUCAUGCCAUGAUCUUGCAAGAACAAAAGAAGGGUUAGGGUUCUUUGAUUUCUUCCUUUUUUUCUUGAUAAAAUCCUCAACGAAAGACUAACUUGUGGUGAUUAAAAGAGUUAGUAAGUGAUCAUAAAGAGGUAUUUGAGUGAUUUAGGGAGUUCUAGAAACUUAAGAGUGAGAACAAGGGUUGGUGAGAGAAGGAAGAAAGAGAAGGAUAAAGGGUUGAUUUCCAUCUUAAAUCUCUUUUGAAUCCUUGUUAUUUCAAGUUAAACAUGGCUUUUAUUGUGUUUGAUUUGGAUAAUUCCAUGAAUGAGAGCUUGAAUGAUGUUAUGUAUGAUUAUGGAAUUUAAAUUUGAGAAAUUUGUUGAUUUAAUUUGGAAUAUUAUAUUAGAAUCUUAUUUAUAAACAUGAAUAAAGAUCAGGUAAGUAAGAAAUUAUUUCCAUGGUCGUGCAUUCGGCUAGAGAGAGAUAGAAGAGAUAAAUUUUCCAGAACAAAACAGUCUUGCCAUUUUGAGAAACAAUUAGAACAAUUUAAGAAACAAUAAAAUCAUUUCUUAAAAUGAUUAGACCGUUUUGGUCUAAUUUUGUGUUUUAGUAUUUUCUUAGUUUUUUUGGUUCUUUUGAGCUUGUUUAAUGGAGAUGAGAAUUGUUUGAUGUAAUUUAGUAUAAUAUGUAUGUUUAAUGAUGAUGACUGAAACAUUUGAUGUGGGGUUGAGGAUCAAAUUGCAAAAAAGAAGAAGAAAGAAAUGGACAUUUAUAUGGUGAUAAUUUAGAAUUUUCAAUUCGAUUAAAUUAAGAACUUAAAAUAUAUAUGGAGAAUGAAAUUGAUUUUUAUGGUGAUCAAUGAAAAAUGAGAUAUUGAUUCUACAUGCACUCAAACAUUAGGUGGCUGCUCGGCACCUUACAACUAAAAUAUUAGUUAAAUUGAACUACAAUAUUAGUUAAAUUGUAAUUGCAAUUUUCUUUAAUCUUAUCUUAAUUUUUAUUUGGAAAAUGUUAAACAAUUAGAAAAAUUAAUUUCCUAGUUAAUAGGAUUAGUGUCCUAGUUAAUAAGAGAUAGGAGAAACUAAUUUUCUUGUUAAUGGGAUUAGUGCCAUAAUUAAUGAAAAAUUGGAGAAAUUAAUUUUAUAAUUAAUAAGAUUAGUGCCCUGGAUAAUGAGAGAUAAAAGAAACUAAUUUCCUAGAUAAUAAGAUUAAUGCCCUAGUUAAUAGGGAAUUGAAGAGACUCAUUCCCCGGCUAAUAGGAUCAGUGCUUAAUUAAUGAAUAAUUGAAGAAAAAUAAUUCUUUUGUUAAUAGGAUUAAUAUCUUGGAUAACAGUCAAUUGGAAAAAAAAAUUGUUGAACCAUAUCCUUUAAUAAUUGUUGUUGAUUCUGUUGAUUAUCACUUGCUGUUGUUUCAUCCAAGUUACUGUCUUUAUCAAUUAUAAAACUUUAGUGUCCUCGGCCAUUCAAGAAAUAUGGCUCCGAUACAAAUUGUAAUGCGUCUAGAUCGUUGUUUUAAAAUGAGAAUUAACUAAUUAAAAAAAAAAGAAUUGUUGGAUUGUAUUUUUUGGAAUCUAAAUUAAAAAACUGAAAUAACUGAAAUAGAAAAUUGAAGAACAGAAUUGUAAGAGGACAAUUUGAGGUAAUAAAUCCUAACUAAAUUUCUGGGCAGAUACGAAGUAACUCCGGCCUCGUUAGAUGAAUGUGAUUUACUUCAAAGCAAUUUACUGCCUAUACUUCUCAUCCUCGCCUUCUAUUUAUUAACUAAAUCUUAGAAUUUGAAUUUCAAAUUCAAGAAGAAAACUCCCUGGGUAAAAUCCUGCGUUGAUUUGUAUGUUGACCACUUCUGUUGCAUAAAUGACGUCGUUGCUGGAAACAAAAUAUCCUUGCAACAUGUCAUCCAGUGAUGGAAGAGCCUCUUCCGGCCUUUCACGUAAGUCUCCCAAUACAUCCUAACCAUACACGUGCUAAUCUCCUUAAUUUCUUGCAGGUUCUCUGUCUCCGUAUUACUUUCUUCUUCAUGUCAAGUGAUAAUCUCCUUAAUUUCUUGCAGGUUCUCUUGUCUCCCUGUUACUUCUCCUUCAUUUCAGAGCAACCACCACCGGGCCCCUGCUGGACCACUACACGAAUCCGGUAGGUUAUAAUUUUCCAUCGUUGAAUGCAAUGCCAUACCACUUGCCUUAAAUUGUCGACGGUUUGCAAUAAUAUCCCUUGUCCUCUAUUAGUUACAGCCAUCCCCUAGCCCUGAGCUAACCUUCUAUUUAGUGACUAGUAUUUAUCUAGCAUUCUAACAAACUACUAGCUAGCCAAGACCAAGAUGGAAGAACUAAAGCCAAUGCCACCAAGCUCAUGCCCCUUUACACCCAUAGGCUUCCUGGAAAGAGCUGCCACUGUUUAUGGUGAUUGCCCAUCCAUCAUCUACAACAACACCACUUACACCUGGUCUCAAACCUACCGUCGAUGUCUCAAGGUUGCAUCUUCGCUAUCAUCCAAUGGCAUCAAGCCAGGUCAAGUGGUUUCCGUUGUGGCCCCUAACGUUCCUGCCAUGUAUGAGCUUCAAUUUGCCGUGCCCAUGUCUGGUGCCAUCCUCAACAACAUCAACACCCGUCUUGACGCUCGGACCAUUUCCAUACUCCUGCGUCACAGUGAGUCAAAGCUCGUCUUCGUUGAUUAUUUGUCGCUUCGUGUUAUUCUUGAAGCCCUCUCUUUGUUUCCACCUGAGACUCCAUGCCCUGCCCUCGUCCUCAUUACGGACGAGGAGGAAGAAGCACCGCCACCACCAUCACUAGCCGUAGACUUUUGUACUUACGAAAGCAUGGUGGAGAAAGGAGAUCCUGAGUUCAAGUGGGUCCAGCCACAAAGUGAGUGGGACCCGGUGGUUUUAAACUACACAUCAGGUACUACCUCAGCUCCUAAAGGUGUGGUACAAUCCCACAGAGGAACUUUCACCAUAACCAUUGGAUCCUUGAUUGAUUGGAGCCUUCCAAAACAAGCAGUGUAUCUGUGGACCCUGCCGAUAUUUCACGCCAAUGGGUGGAGUUAUCCAUGGGGUAUGGCAGCUGUUGGCGGGGCCAACAUCUGUCUUCGUAGAGUGGAAGCCCCUACGAUCUACAGCUUGAUCAAAAGGCACGGGGUCACUCACAUGUGUGGCGCACCUGUGGUGCUAAACAUGCUAACAAACUCUCCCAACGCGGAACGCCUACAAAACCCAGUGCAAAUUUUAACCGGGGGAGCUCCACCUCCAUCCGCCGUGCUGUUCCGGGCAGAAUCACUUGGUUUUGUGGUGAGUCAUGGAUACGGUUUAACUGAAACGGCAGGGCUGUUCACUUCGUGUGCGUGGAAACCAAAGUGGAAUACAUUUCCAGCAAGUGAGAGAGCUAGACUAAAGUCAAGACAAGGGGUUCCGUUUGUUGGCUUCACCGAGAUGGGCGUUGUGGAUCCCAAUACAGGAAAGAGUGUGGAAAGAGAUGGGGUAUCACUUGGUGAAGUUGUUUUGAGAGGUGGGAGCGUAAUGUUAGGUUACUUUAAAGAUCCAUUAGGCACGUCGAUGUGCAUGAAAGAUGGUUGGUUUUACACGGGAGAUGUGGGUGUUCUGCACUCAGAUGGAUAUUUAGAGGUCAAAGAUAGGUCCAAAGACGUGAUCAUUAGCGGUGGAGAGAAUAUUAGCAGCGUAGAGAUCGAGUCUGUGUUGUAUACACAUCCUGCUGUUAACGAGGCAGCUGUGGUGGCUAGGCCUGAUGAGUUCUGGGGCGAGACACCGUGCGCGUUUGUGAGUUUGAAACAUGGUUUGCCUCACAAACCUGGUGAGAAAGAUAUAAUUGAUUAUUGCAGGGAAAAGAUGGCGCAUUAUAUGGUACCAAAAAUCGUGGUGUUCAAAGAUGAGCUUCCAAAGACAUCAACUGGGAAGAUUCAGAAGUAUUUGCUCAGAGAAUAUGCCAAGGUCGUGGAUUCUUCGAAGGUAAAAAUGGCAACCGGACAGGUCGGGAGUGGUUUUUAUCUGCCUCUAACUUCUCCUAGAUGGCUUCAAACACCCUUUAUUCCCACCCCAUACCCCGUCAAGGCCGUAAACAUCCUUAUCCCCACUCCCAUCUCCACCUCCAUUUGCGUUCCCAUUCCCCGUUGUCGUCCCGUCUCUCUGUACAACUUCAGUCAAAGCACAUAUUUUGCCAGAAAAAGAGGUUCUGAAAUCAGUAUCUUUCAAAAGAGCAAAGGAACAGUGCUCCAUCCGCCACAUCGUUUGUGCAACACUCAUGCUCGAUUCCUCUGAGCUUCAUGAAUAAUUCUUGAAACUUAAGAGGAAGUUGGCGCAAGGGCCUUCCCAUCUGCCCCAAAUUGGUGUCCUAUUAAUGGCGAUAUGUUUUGUGUGUGAAAUUGUACAUUUUCCUCCGAUGGACUUGUCAGUUGUUUCAAUCACCACGUACGACACGAUCAAGAGAAAGUAACGCAGUAUGUAAUAGCCUUUGUCCAAAUAUCGAGGAAAAGAACAGUUUCGUAAUUGUCUUCGACUAGCUUAAGUUCUUAAUUGGUACAGGUUAAUCCUGUUGAUCUUCACCAUUCUCUUGCAACAUAAAUUGUC
Molecule: long non-coding RNA, 9011 nt
Filed under: Populus trichocarpa (black cottonwood)
Lineage: Eukaryota; Viridiplantae; Streptophyta; Magnoliopsida; Malpighiales; Salicaceae
Description: long non-coding RNA (PTRI_LNC004201)
Source: RNAcentral